RNAcentral lists this long non-coding RNA (704 nucleotides) under Marmota monax (woodchuck). Lineage: Eukaryota; Metazoa; Chordata; Mammalia; Rodentia; Sciuridae. The record is from RNAcentral.
GCUUAGGCCACCAUGCAGCCUUAUUUCUUGACCCUGCUUUAACUCCUACUCCUGAUGUGAGCCGGAAAAGGACUCCCCAUGUCCACCUUCUUUGGGUGUAGGUUCCAUUUCUACCCCCAGUGGGGUCCAAAAAGGUUUCUCUUCGCCAUUGCAGUUUCUUCUGCUGUUUCCUUGCAUUCUGGGGCCCUGUUUGUGCACAUAACCUUUGCCUCACCUAUGUGGCCGCCUCUUGCCCCUGAGCGCUGGCCGUCCCUGUUGGACCGGCUAGUGACCUGACUCCAUGGCCGCCCAGCAGUGCCAUCGCAGGCCGGGCUGCCUUCAGGCAGACCCAGGCACACUUGCGGUAUGUGAAAGCAAGCAUUCCUGCCUUUCAGUCAUGAAAAGAAUGUCCUUGGCCUCUACGUUACGGUGACGCUAGUGGAUAGCUUAGCCCGCACAACCCUGCCUCCUCCUCCCGGGGCCUGGGGCUGGCCCUCCUCUCCUGCCUCCCACACCUGGCCACCAGAACCCCUACCACCCUGCACCUGGUGGAUCGCUCAGAGCGCACACCCCCUGGUGCUGACCAGUCGGGGAGCGCCUGGACGCAGCGACCUCUGGCCGGCUUUCGGUGUUCUCAUGCGUGCGAAGAGAGCGCGUGAGGAAAGCCGCGCGGGGUCGGCAGGGUCGGCGGCCGGUGCGGACGCGCCUCGGCGGCGCGCGGCGGC